CCCUUAGAUGUUCUGGGCUGCACGCGCGCUACACUGAAGCUAUCAACACGUUUUCCCUCCCUGAGAAGGGCGGGUAACCUUUUGAAUCAGCUUCGUGGUAGGGAUCGGGGCUUGCAAUUGUUCCCCGUGAACCAGGAAUUCCUAGUAGACGCGAGUCAUAAGCUCGCAUCGAUUAAGUCCCUGCCCUUUUUACACACCGCCCGUCGCUACUACCGAUUGAACGUUUUAGUGAGGCAUUUGGACCGACGCAUCUCAGUUUAACCGCUGGUUUGUGUUGGAAAGACUUCCAAACUUGAGCGUUUAGAGGAAGUAAAAGUCGUAACA
This 324-nucleotide ribosomal RNA is filed under the name uncultured eukaryote. Its description in RNAcentral is "partial 18S ribosomal RNA". It matches the Rfam family "Eukaryotic small subunit ribosomal RNA", at positions 1470 to 1796 of the family's 1831-position model. The record is from RNAcentral.